UAGGGAAUCUUCCGCAAUGGGCGAAAGCCUGACGGAGCAACGCCGCGUGAGUGAUGAAGGUCUUCGGAUCGUAAAACUCUGUUAUUAGGGAAGAACAAAUGUGUAAGUAACUAUGCACGUCUUGACGGUACCUAAUCAGAAAGCCACGGCUAACUACGUGCCAGCAGCCGCGGUAAUACGUAGGUGGCAAGCGUUAUCAGGAAUUAUUGGGCGUAAAGCGCGCGUAGGCGGUUUUUUAAGUCUGAUGUGAAAGCCCACGGCUCAACCGUGGAGGGUCAUUGGAAACUGGAAAACUUGAGUGCAGAAGAGGAAAGUGGAAUUCCAUGUGUAGCGGUGAAAUGCGCAGAGAUAUGGAGGAACACCAGUGGCGAAGGCGACUUUCUGGUCUGUAACUGACGCUGAUGUGCGAAAGCGUGGGGAUCAAACA
This 427-nucleotide ribosomal RNA is filed under the name uncultured bacterium. RNAcentral describes it as "partial 16S ribosomal RNA". It matches the Rfam family "Bacterial small subunit ribosomal RNA", at positions 355 to 774 of the family's 1533-position model. The record is from RNAcentral.